RNAcentral lists this long non-coding RNA (1356 nucleotides) under Helianthus annuus (common sunflower). RNAcentral describes it as "hypothetical non coding rna". The record is from RNAcentral. Lineage: Eukaryota; Viridiplantae; Streptophyta; Magnoliopsida; Asterales; Asteraceae.
UUGGCAUCCUCACGAUUUCAUUACGAUCUGAUGGUAAAUCUCUUAUUAAACGUCUAUGUCCACCUUUACAGUCCCUAUUUGAGCACCAAUAGGAAACCAAACCACAUUGGUUCUACUCGAACCCUCGUAACCGUAGUCUACCAUUAGAGGCAUCACGAGAACCAGUCACCCGUUGUGGUAGAUUUUCCGGGCAUCAACCGUUGCCGCACGACACCAGUACGGUAGCCGCCAUCAUUGCAGCACCACCACGGUGGAGUUGUUCAGUGGGGGAAAAUGUUCCACUGUUCAUCUUUAUCGAAAUGUUCGUUGUUGUUUAAGAGUACUUCAAGGAGUGGACUCUCAGGUGUGGUUGGUUAUGCACUAGUAGGGAAGAAUGUGGGGAGCACGUAAGUUUUUCAAGAAGAGGAUAUGAAACAUUAUUCAUGGCCAGUAUAGUUAAAAGCAUCAGAAGUGGAUAAAGAUGAUGAGAAUGUACACUCGACACUGACACAUAUUUAAACUUUUUGAGGGUUGUUACAUGCCGUACCAAGAGACCACAUAUGAACUUGAUUGGGAUCCCCAAGUUGAUGUUGUAACUUGAGCUGGCUCAAAAGCACACUCGGAGUCUCCUACUGGUUGUAUAGUUCAAGGAUGAGUUUUCUAAAAAGAAGCACCUAAAUGAGUCAUCAUCUUAGUGGGCUAAUGUGAUAUGCCACAUGCAAGAGAUACAUGCGCCAGAACAAGCCUCAGGGGAUUUUGGGUUAAUUGAGACCCAAGGAAACAUUUGAAGAACAUGGUCCCUGGUCUCACUCGACUCCCAGCUAAUGGGGCACGAGAAAUCACUUGGCUUCGCCCAACAAUGGCCUUGGAGUGAUGUUACGCCUGCAAUGGUUUAAAUAGUUCCAAAGUCAUCACCGCAGUUCCAAAGUGGAAGCAAAACUUGUGAGUAAUUCGCACACGUUUUUCCAUCUGAUAUUUACAUUGGCGAGCAUGUGUUCUGACAUGCUUUUAUUGGGAUGGAGCAGUUUGGAAAACUUGGAUCUAAUUGAUGUCGGGUGGCUGGUCAUUGAUUGAAUUGUUUACAACUUGAAUUUGGUAGCUAGCUGGUCAUUGAUUUUGCAAUCAAAUCUUGGAGCAUUCCACAAAGGCAAAAUGAUUGGAUAUAAAUUUGCAACAAUUUCAAGUCUAAAAGCAGUGAGUAUAUGGAUUUGAAGACGACAACCUAGAAUUAGUUCUUAGUUUAUGUGUAGAUGCAUUCCCUUUGCAACUUUUGUAGAUAGGUUUUGAUUAUAAGUUUAUGUCUUUAAUUAGUAUUUAAAUUGAAAACUUAUGUAUGGAUUUUGGUUUAUUAUUGUUAAUAUCGUUUGGUUUUUAGGU